This 639-nucleotide long non-coding RNA is filed under the name Pan troglodytes (chimpanzee). RNAcentral's name for it is "lincRNA". The record is from RNAcentral. Lineage: Eukaryota; Metazoa; Chordata; Mammalia; Primates; Hominidae.
GCUGACUCUCUUUUCGGACUCAGCCCGCCUGCACCCAGGUGAUUAAAAGCUUUAUUGCUCACACAAAGCCUGUUUGGUGGUCUCUUCACAUGGACGCGCAUGAAAGAAAUUACUUUUUUUCAAGAACGAGUUCAUGUCCUUUGCAGGGACAUGGAUGAAGCUGGAAGGCACCAUUCUCAGCAAACUAACACAGGAACAAAAAACCAAACAUUGCAUGUUUUCACUCAUAAAUAAUACAUGAAGCCGGGCACGGUGGCUCACACCUGUAAUCCCAGCACUUUGGAAGGCCGAGGCGGGCGGAUCACCUGAGGUCAGGAGUUCAAGACCAGCCUGGGCAACAUGGAGAAACCCCGUCUCUACUAAAAAUACAAAAAUUAGCUGGGUGUGAUGGCACGAGCCUGUAAUCCCAGCUACCUGGGAGGCUGAGGCAUGAAAAUCUCUUGAACCUGGGAGGGGAGAUCGCGCCACUGCCCUCCAACUUGGGUGACAGAGCGAGGCUCCAUCUCAAAAAGAAGAGUACAUGAAAAGUUCUCAAAUCAUAAAUAAAAAAAAAAUUGUUUGAAAGUUUAUUUACAACUAACAUCUCAUUUCCCCGUAAGUCUCCAUUUCUCCUCAUAUGCACUGCAGAUAACAAAACCA